Molecule: ribosomal RNA, 609 nt
Filed under: Triticum aestivum (bread wheat)
Lineage: Eukaryota; Viridiplantae; Streptophyta; Magnoliopsida; Poales; Poaceae
Description: partial small subunit ribosomal RNA
Source: RNAcentral
AUGAAGCUCUUCACUGUCCUGUUUUCCUACGUCCUCCUUCUUGGCCUCUAUACACCACCAAGCCUGUCAGAUGGUCCACCUCUUCAAGAUGUGUGCCCUAUGGCACCUCAGGGUGAAAGGAAGCUGUUCAUGAACGGUUUCCUCUGCAAGCACCCUAGCACCAUACUGGCUUCUGAUUUCAAGACACUGCUUCUCAAUCAUGCCGGGAAACUAGAUAACAUUCUCCGGUCAUCGGUAUACAUCGUCACCACCGCAGAGUUCCCUGGCCUCAACACCCUUGGCAUGGCGUCCGAGAUGAUGUUUGUCCAUGAUGGCAGCGUGCUGGCCGGUUUCUUUGACACAACUGGUAAGCUGUUUCAGAAGAGACUGUGUGAGGGGGAUGUGUUCAUCUUUCCCCGUGGUUUGGUUCACUUCAUCAUGAACUAUGGUCUCCGUCUUGCGACGACGUUCUCAGUGCUCAACAGUCAGAACCCUGGUGUGGUUGGCAUCACCCAUGCAAUGUUUGCGCCAGAUUCAGAUGUAGUCGAGGGGCUGAUGGCCAGAAUGAUGAAGUCCAGAGAGAUGGAAAUCCCUAACAACAAGACUACCGAUUUUCCAUGGACUUACUAG